This 253-nucleotide ribosomal RNA is filed under the name uncultured bacterium. Its description in RNAcentral is "partial 16S ribosomal RNA". It matches the Rfam family "Bacterial small subunit ribosomal RNA", at positions 524 to 776 of the family's 1533-position model. The record is from RNAcentral.
UACGUAGGGGGCAAGCGUUAUCCGGAUUUACUGGGUGUAAAGGGAGCGUAGACGGCAGGGCAAGUCUGGAGUGAAAGGCAGGGGCCCAACCCCUGGACUGCUCUGGAAACUGUGCGGCUGGAGUGCAGGAGAGGUAAGUGGAAUUCCUAGUGUAGCGGUGAAAUGCGUAGAUAUUAGGAGGAACACCAGUGGCGAAGGCGGCUUACUGGACUGUAACUGACGUUGAGGCUCGAAAGCGUGGGGAGCAAACAGG